CCUACGGGAGGCAGCAGUGGGGAAUAUUGCACAAUGGGGGAAACCCUGAUGCAGCAACGCCGCGUGAAGGAAGAAGGUUUUCGGAUUGUAAACUUCUGUUCUUAGGGAAGAAUAAUGACGGUAGCUAAGGCGCACGCCCCGGCUAACUACGUUCCAGCAGCCGCGGGAAUUCGUAGGUGGCCAGCGUUGUCCGGAAUUACUGGGUGGAAAGGGAGCGCAGGCGGGAAGCCAAGUCCGCUGUGAAAACUACGGGCUUAACUUGGCGACUGAAGUUGAAACUGGUUGUCUUGAGUGAAGUAGAGGUUGGCGGAAUGCCGAGUGUAGCGGUGAAAUGCGUAGAUAUUCGGAGGAACACCGGUGGCGAAGGCGGCCAACUGGGCUUUAACUGACGCUGAGGCUCGAAAGUGUGGGGAGCAAACAGGAUUAGAUACCCGGGUAGUC
RNAcentral lists this ribosomal RNA (441 nucleotides) under uncultured bacterium. RNAcentral's name for it is "partial 16S ribosomal RNA". It matches the Rfam family "Bacterial small subunit ribosomal RNA", at positions 338 to 795 of the family's 1533-position model. The record is from RNAcentral.